GACGAACGCUGGCGGCGCGCUUAACACAUGCAAGUCGAACGGAAAGGCCUGCUUUCCCUUGUGGAUUGCGGGUACUCGAGUGGCGAACGGGUGAGUAACACGUGAGUGAUCUGCCCCCAACUUGGGUAUAAGCCUGGGAAACUGGGUCUAAUUCCCGAUAGGACUGCAGGGUGGUGCCUGUGGUGGAAAACGAUUUUCUAGUGGUUGGGGAUGAGCUCGCGGCCUAUCAGCUUGUUGGUGGGGUAAUGGCCUACCAAGGCGGCGACGGGUAGCCGGCCUGAGAGGGUGGACGGCCACAUUGGGACUGAGAUACGGCCAAGACUCCUACGGGAGGCAGCAGUGGGGAAUAGUGCACAAUGGGCGGAAGCCUGAUGCAGCGACGCCGCGUGGGGGAUGACGGCCUUCGGGUUGUAAACUCCUUUCGACCGCGAGGAAGCCACCUGGUUGGAAGGGUGGUGACGGUAGUGGUAGAAGAAGCACCGGCUAACUACGUG
RNAcentral lists this ribosomal RNA (494 nucleotides) under uncultured bacterium. RNAcentral's name for it is "partial 16S ribosomal RNA". It matches the Rfam family "Bacterial small subunit ribosomal RNA", at positions 28 to 507 of the family's 1533-position model. The record is from RNAcentral.